Molecule: ribosomal RNA, 381 nt
Filed under: uncultured bacterium
Lineage: Bacteria
Description: bacterial SSU rRNA
Rfam family: Bacterial small subunit ribosomal RNA
Source: RNAcentral
AAAGCACUUUCAGUCGUGAGGAAGGUAGUGUAGUUAAUAGCUGCAUUAUUUGACGUUAGCGACAGAAGAAGCACCGGCUAACUCCGUGCCAGCAGCCGCGGUAAUACGGAGGGUGCGAGCGUUAAUCGGAAUUACUGGGCGUAAAGCGCAUGCAGGUGGUUUGUUAAGUUCAGAUGUGAAAGACCCGGGGCGUCAACCUCGGAAUAGCAUUUGUAAACUGGCAGACUAGAGUACUGUAGAGGGGGGUAGGAAUUUCAGGUGUAGCGGUGAAAUGCGUAGAGAUCUGAAGGAAUACCGGUGGCGAAGGCGGCCCCCUCGGACAGAUACUGACACUCAGAUGCGAAAGCGUGGGGAGCAAACAGGAUUAGAUACCCCUGGUAG